AGUGCCUCCUAGAGACCUAUGACCUCGGUGAUCUUCUCCUCGAGGCGGGCAGCCUCAGCUAGGAGACCUUCCUUUGCCCAAGUUGCCUCCCUCUUAGCAAUCUUCACCGCCUCAACGUUGGCGACAAGCUGGUGCCCAAUCUGCAAGAGAGGCUGGGGAGUCAAUAUAAAGGCUAAGGAGUAAAUUGAGUAAAGAAACGAGAAGGAGAAAAAAGUGAAUUAACCUACUUCGAGGAAAGAUCCCAGAGAGUCCCAGACCCGCAGCUCGGGAUCAGCGAGG
This 279-nucleotide long non-coding RNA is filed under the name Elaeis guineensis (African oil palm). RNAcentral describes it as "long non-coding RNA (EGUI_LNC076089)". The record is from RNAcentral. Lineage: Eukaryota; Viridiplantae; Streptophyta; Magnoliopsida; Arecales; Arecaceae.